GCUGGGUUUGGAUUGGGAAGCCAGACAUUUCUUGGCAUACAUUUCCUACUUGAAUGGAAUUCCAGUUUACCCCCUCCUCACCUCUCCCCAGCCCCCAGGCAGCUAGAGGCCCCACCUCCUUGCUUGGACCAUAUGGGGAAGCUGGCUCAGUGGCUGUUAUUCUACUGACUCCAAGUUCACGCAGCUGUUCAUCCCCUGCUUAAUGUACCGGUGAGUUCCUUGAAGCCCUGAACUGAGCACUUCUUGUGUGCAUGAACAUUUGUUAUAUCUGAAGAUAUUCUGAUUGGCAACAUUUUUAACAUAACUGUUUAAAGAAAAUACCACCAGCACAUAACUCAUCCAUAAAAUUGCUGGUUUUGAACAAGACAGAGAAGGCUGUGACUGGGAUCAUCAGAGAACCAGCCUCCACCCCAAACAAAAUAGGGGCAAAGGAGUCAGAUGAGAAUUUGGUUCAGUAUGAGAUACUGGGCAACAAGACAGGACCCUUGACCUCAGAAACAUAGGAAAUCGAGAAUACUACAGAUCAUGAAGUAGCGGAGCCACAGAGCAAAAUUUCCAGCACUGAUCUUGAGUGCUUUCCCUCGAGGACUCUGUGCUGUUUUCACAAAGGCCUCUCAGAACACUAGGCUUUGAAAGGUAGAAAUGUAAACACCGGGACCAGAGUGGCCUUUGGUCUAAGAGUGAGCCACACAGGUUUCUAUGUAAAUAGUUGCCAGCAUUCCAGUAGUGGUACUGGGAAAUGGUUUUAUGGGAGAAACAAAUCACCCGAAUGUAGAAAAUGCAAUUCCACUGAAGCAGAUCCAGCUUCCUUCCCUGACUGAGAAUGUGGUUAAAUACUGAUUCAGGAGGAAGAUUUGUAUCCUCUGCUGCUGAGGGUCCGGCUCUUGCUCAUUGCUGGUGUUUACAAGAUGACAUUCCCUGCCUCCUGUGACAUGCUGAGGCAGCCCUGACUUUGGAGAUGGGGUGGUGGUGCAUGUGAGGGAAAGGGGAUAAGUGAGGCUGUGUUUUUAUUUGCAGAACUUGGCUGUUCACCUCUCACGUUCACAUCUAACACAUGAAGCCCACCCCAUGCUUGGCUUUUCCAAAACAGUGAUUCUAACGCAACACCCUAAUGAGCUGUGUUAACUCACCUUUCAGAAGGAGGCUGGGGGGACAUACAUCACAACAAGGUGAGAGGAAGGGGUGAUUGUAACAAGAUUAAAUGUGAUUAUCACCAGUAGAAGUUCUAUGAGAUGAAGUGACUGAAUCGCAGCUCACAAUGGCAUCCGAAGAGAAUUAAAAGUGCAAUUUUACUUUA
Molecule: long non-coding RNA, 1297 nt
Organism: Sapajus apella (tufted capuchin)
Lineage: Eukaryota; Metazoa; Chordata; Mammalia; Primates; Cebidae
Exons: 2
Source: RefSeq, a predicted model, not a curated record